UGCAGUCGAGCGGUACAUUUCUGGCUUGUUAGAAGAUGACGAGCGGCGGACGGGUGAGUAAUGCUUGGGAAUAUGCCUUAUGGUGGGGGACAACAGUUGGAAACGACUGCUAAUACCGCAUAACGUCUACGGACCAAAGGGGGGGAUCUUCGGACCUCUCGCCAUUUGAUUAGCCCAAGUGAGAUUAGCUAGUUGGUGAGGUAAUGGCUCACCAAGGCGACGAUCUCUAGCUGGUUUGAGAGGAUGAUCAGCCACACUGGGACUGAGACACGGCCCAGACUCCUACGGGAGGCAGCAGUGGGGAAUAUUGCACAAUGGGCGAAAGCCUGAUGCAGCCAUGCCGCGUGUGUGAAGAAGGCCUUCGGGUUGUAAAGCACUUUCAGUUGUGAGGAAAGGGGAGUAGUUAAUAGCUGCUUUCUGUGACGUUAACAACAGAAGAAGCACCGGCUAACUUCGUGCCAGCAGCCGCGGUAAUACGAGGGGUGCAAGCGUUAAUCGGAAUUACUGGGCGUAAAGCGUUCGUAGGCGGUCUAUUAAGCAAGAUGUGAAAGCCCAGGGCUCAACCUUGGAACUGCAUUUUGAACUGGUAGACUAGAGUACUGUAGAGGGUGGUGGAAUUUCCAGUGUAGCGGUGAAAUGCGUAGAGAUUGGAAGGAACAUCAGUGGCGAACGCGGCCACCUGGACAGAUACUGACGCUGAGGAACGA
RNAcentral lists this ribosomal RNA (707 nucleotides) under uncultured Colwellia sp. RNAcentral describes it as "bacterial SSU rRNA". It matches the Rfam family "Bacterial small subunit ribosomal RNA", at positions 56 to 756 of the family's 1533-position model. Lineage: Bacteria; Pseudomonadati; Pseudomonadota; Gammaproteobacteria; Alteromonadales; Colwelliaceae. The record is from RNAcentral.